CCUGCUGCCUGUUGGUUACCAUUGGAUCAAAAUAUGCGGUCCAGAUAGGAGUCCAGUCCCCACCCGAGCGAGGCGGCGGCGGAACUCCCGGCCUCCGGCGAACCCAGCAGCCGCCACCUCUCGCGGCUCCAAUCACACAGACCAGAUGAUGGCCGCGGCGGCCGUCUACCGGCGGGUGCUCAAGGCGGUGCAGAAGCACGUCGGCGGGGGCGACUCCAAGAAGCACUUCCGCGAGUUCGUCGCCUCCGAGUUCCGCCGCCCCACUGGCACGGACGCCGACGCCAGAGCGCGGCUGCGGCUCGCCGGGGAUUACACCUACCUCCUCGCCAGCGUCCACCACCACAAGGACCUGCUAUUCUCGUAUAAUAUAGCUGUGGACCGAUCAGAGGAGAUGAAGAAGAUAUUGAACAAAUCUGCUGCUAGUGUAGGCCUUCAGCUUCCAGAUGUCUAUCAGGCGUGAGGAACUUCAUUUUUGCAGAAAUGUGCAAUCUUUGUUGUUGCAGAUGGAGCAAUGUGAGGAUCGCGGUGGGCGGUACCUUAGGCAGGUCUCGCAAAACUUCACCUUCACCGUGAAGCCAUUGACUGUAACAUCCUUUGCCCUACGGAACCUCAUCCGUGGAGUUCUCCCUGAGCUCCACUCCAUCGAUGGUGUGGUUGAGCCAAGAAAUUCAUCGGCUUCAGGUGGUGCUCUUGUGUUCCUUGGCACUAUCCCUGGGUCCCUGGCUGAUGUCAUGAAUAGGAAGAAAAGGUCCUGCAAUUUUGAAGCUGUGCAGCUCGACGCAUCCGUUGUUGAGAGCGGUGGAUUGUGGACUCCAUCUGGUAGCUGAAGACGAUGGCCGGGCCAAGGAUGAGGAACAUGGACAACAGCAGGGAGGCUGCAUCCGGGCCAAUAAUAAGGCGUCCACCACACAAGAAUAUCUGCAAAAUGAAGGAAAACCAGUCUACCUCUCAGCUAUGAAGUUGAAGAAGCUGAAGCCAGAUCGCUGGAGCAAGAAAGAAAGAAAGAAAGAGCAGGCACGUUGUUUCCCUUCCAGACUUGGUAGAGCCUCUUGGGCUUGGCGUGCAGCUGCUGUGGGUCAUUAGCCUCGAACUCCUGUGAUGACGCCAUGAUCAUGAUUCAUGGCAGCAUGGCCUCCUCGCUGCUGCUGGUUGCAUUGAGGGUGUUAUGUGCCUGUGCUU
Molecule: non-coding RNA, 1179 nt
Organism: Oryza sativa Japonica Group (Japanese rice)
Lineage: Eukaryota; Viridiplantae; Streptophyta; Magnoliopsida; Poales; Poaceae
Source: RefSeq, a predicted model, not a curated record